Molecule: ribosomal RNA, 916 nt
Filed under: Salmonella enterica subsp. enterica serovar Cerro
Lineage: Bacteria; Pseudomonadati; Pseudomonadota; Gammaproteobacteria; Enterobacterales; Enterobacteriaceae
Description: bacterial SSU rRNA
Rfam family: Bacterial small subunit ribosomal RNA
Source: RNAcentral
AGGGGGACCUUCGGGCCUCUUGCCAUCAGAUGUGCCCAGAUGGGAUUAGCUGGUUGGUGAGGUAACGGCUCACCAAGGCGACGAUCCCUAGCUGGUCUGAGAGGAUGACCAGCCACACUGGAACUGAGACACGGUCCAGACUCCUACGGGAGGCAGCAGUGGGGAAUAUUGCACAAUGGGCGCAAGCCUGAUGCAGCCAUGCCGCGUGUAUGAAGAAGGCCUUCGGGUUGUAAAGUACUUUCAGCGGGGAGGAAGGUGUUGUGGUUAAUAACCGCAGCAAUUGACGUUACCCGCAGAAGAAGCACCGGCUAACUCCGUGCCAGCAGCCGCGGUAAUACGGAGGGUGCAAGCGUUAAUCGGAAUUACUGGGCGUAAAGCGCACGCAGGCGGUCUGUCAAGUCGGAUGUGAAAUCCCCGGGCUCAACCUGGGAACUGCAUUCGAAACUGGCAGGCUUGAGUCUUGUAGAGGGGGGUAGAAUUCCAGGUGUAGCGGUGAAAUGCGUAGAGAUCUGGAGGAAUACCGGUGGCGAAGGCGGCCCCCUGGACAAAGACUGACGCUCAGGUGCGAAAGCGUGGGGAGCAAACAGGAUUAGAUACCCUGGUAGUCCACGCCGUAAACGAUGUCUACUUGGAGGUUGUGCCCUUGAGGCGUGGCUUCCGGAGCUAACGCGUUAAGUAGACCGCCUGGGGAGUACGGCCGCAAGGUUAAAACUCAAAUGAAUUGACGGGGGCCCGCACAAGCGGUGGAGCAUGUGGUUUAAUUCGAUGCAACGCGAAGAACCUUACCUGGUCUUGACAUCCACGGAAGUUUUCAGAGAUGAGAAUGUGCCUUCGGGAACCGUGAGACAGGUGCUGCAUGGCUGUCGUCAGCUCGUGUUGUGAAAUGUUGGGUUAAGUCCCGCAACGAGCGCAACCC